Molecule: transfer RNA, 91 nt
Filed under: Chloroflexota bacterium
Lineage: Bacteria; Bacillati; Chloroflexota
Also listed under: 1 other name
Description: Chloroflexi bacterium (marine sediment metagenome) tRNA-Ser
Rfam family: tRNA
About the family: Transfer RNA (tRNA) molecules are approximately 80 nucleotides in length. Their secondary structure includes four short double-helical elements and three loops (D, anti-codon, and T loops).
Source: RNAcentral
GGGGAGAUGCCAGAGUGGUUGAAUGGGGCCGCCUGCUAAGCGGUUGUGGGGUCACAAAGCUCCACCCAGGGUUCGAAUCCCUGUCUCCCCG